Molecule: long non-coding RNA, 877 nt
Organism: Marmota flaviventris (yellow-bellied marmot)
Lineage: Eukaryota; Metazoa; Chordata; Mammalia; Rodentia; Sciuridae
Source: RefSeq, a predicted model, not a curated record
AUGUAAUGUACAAGAAGAAUUGGACUUAUUCUGUGUCGCUCCAGAGAAUAAAACUGAGCAGUGAGUGAAGGAGGCCGUUUUCCAUUUAAGCUCAUUCCUUCUUUCCUGCUCCAUUGAAGUCCUGAACCUGAUGUGUAGUCUCCAUAAACUACUGAUGGCAAACUGGGAAAGAAGAAAUCACUGGAAAUUCUUCCCAACAGCCAGGUCUGGAAAAUAAAAAGUGAUAUAUUAUGUUCAUUGAAACCUCUCACAAUUAGAACCCAGUAAUUUGAAGUCAUCUGGAAAUAAAAAUUAUAUCUUGGGAUGUGACUGUACUUAAAAAAUAAUAAUGGCUGGGAAAGGAAACACGAAGGCAGACAAAGAUUGGUGGUAUCCAGGGAGUGAGCUGAGAGGCGAAGUGGAUUGCAGAAGGUGGUGGUGCCUGCUCAGACCUUGACUGGGGCACAUUGAAAAGAAUGAAUUUUAUUGCAGCAUGACUACAAAGGAUUCUUUGGAAAUGAGACCCUGAAAUUGGUACUUUAAGCCAUCACCCCACAUACUUCUGAAGCAGAAAUCCGAGGUCGGCAGCACCCUGGAACAUCACUCAGGUUUCCUGCUUAAAGGCCGGGUUGAUUGAGGACUGGAUACAUCUAUAGAGAGUUCUGCAAAAAUCCAUCCCUCAUCUAUGAAAAAUUAUUCAUAGUACAUGAGAAUGAAAGAGCCUGACUAAGGACAUGAAUGUAUGAGAAAGGAAACAUGGACUCCCACACUCAUGUGAUCUUCAGAUUUCAAAGAAGCAAAGAUGUAAUGGUCUAUCCAAAGGUCUAUUUUGAAAGACAUUUUAAAGUUCGAUAUGUUAGAAAUCAAGUGAGAAAAAAAUAAAGACAACAGGACGUAA